RNAcentral lists this ribosomal RNA (502 nucleotides) under uncultured bacterium. Its description in RNAcentral is "bacterial SSU rRNA". It matches the Rfam family "Bacterial small subunit ribosomal RNA", at positions 1 to 507 of the family's 1533-position model. The record is from RNAcentral.
ACUACGAGUUUGAUCCUGGCUCAGAUUGAACGCUGGCGGCAUGCCUUACACAUGCAAGUCGAGGGGUAUAGUUCUUCGGAACUAGAGACCGGCGCACGGGUGCGUAACGCGUAUGCAAUCUACCUUUUACAGGGGAAUAGCCCAGAGAAAUUUGGAUUAAUGCCCCAUAGUGUUAUAGAAUCGCAUGGUUUUAUAACUAAAGUUCCAACGGUAAAAGAUGAGCAUGCGUCCCAUUAGUUAGUUGGUAAGGUAACGGCUUACCAAGACAAUGAUGGGUAGGGGUCCUGAGAGGGAGAUCCCCCACACUGGUACUGAGACACGGACCAGACUCCUACGGGAGGCAGCAGUGAGGAAUAUUGGACAAUGGGCGCAAGCCUGAUCCAGCCAUGCCGCGUGCAGGAAGACGGUCCUAUGGAUUGUAAACUGCUUUUGUACAGGAAGAAACACUCCCUCGUGAGGGAGCUUGACGGUACUGUAAGAAUAAGGAUCGGCUAACUCCGUG